UUAGGGUUUAAAACCCUAAUACUGACUGGCUGGAAAGAGUUCAGUUUAGGAUUUAAAACCCUAAUGCUGACUAAAGGGAAAGUUCAGUUUAUGGUUUAGAACCCUAAUACUGACUGGAUGGAAAAAGUUCAGUUUAAGGUUUAAAACCCUAAUGCUGACUGAAUGGAAAAAGUUCAGUUUAGGGUUUAAAACCCUAAUACUGACUGGCUGGAAAGAGUUCAGUUUAGGGUUUAAAACCCUAAUGCUGACUGAAUGGAAAAAGAUCAGUUUAGGGCUUAAAACCCUAAUACUGACUGAAGGAAAGAGUUCAGUUUAGGAUUUAAAACCCUAAUACUGACUAAAGGGAAAGUUCAGUUUAUGGUUUAGAACCCUAAUACUGACUGGAUGGAAAAAGUUCAGUUUAAGGUUUAAAACCCUUAUGCUGACUGAAUGGAAAAAGUUCAGUUUAGGGUUUAAAACCCUAAUAUUGACUGAAUGGGAAAAGUUCAGUUUAGGGUUUAAAACCCUAAUGCUGACUAAA
RNAcentral lists this long non-coding RNA (520 nucleotides) under Nicotiana tabacum (common tobacco). Its description in RNAcentral is "long non-coding RNA (NTAB_LNC013973)". Lineage: Eukaryota; Viridiplantae; Streptophyta; Magnoliopsida; Solanales; Solanaceae. The record is from RNAcentral.